GUAAUGCUUAGGAAUCUGCCUAUUAGUGGGGGACAACAUCUCGAAAGGGAUGCUAAUACCGCAUACGUCCUACGGGAGAAAGCAGGGGACCUUCGGGCCUUGCGCUAAUAGAUGAGCCUAAGUCGGAUUAGCUAGUUGGUGGGGUAAAGGCCUACCAAGGCGACGAUCUGUAGCGGGUCUGAGAGGAUGAUCCGCCACACUGGGACUGAGACACGGCCCAGACUCCUACGGGAGGCAGCAGUGGGGAAUAUUGGACAAUGGGGGGAACCCUGAUCCAGCCAUGCCGCGUGUGUGAAGAAGGCCUUUUGGUUGUAAAGCACUUUAAGCGAGGAGGAGGCUACCGAGAUUAAUACUCUUGGAUAGUGGACGUUACUCGCAGAAUAAGCACCGGCUAACUCUGUGCCAGCAGCCGCGGUAAUACAGAGGGUGCAAGCGUUAAUCGGAUUUACUGGGCGUAAAGCGCGCGUAGGUGGCCAAUUAAGUCAAAUGUGAAAUCCCCGAGCUUAACUUGGGAAUUGCAUUCGAUACUGGUUGGCUAGAGUAUGGGAGAGGAUGGUAGAAUUCCAGGUGUAGCGGUGAAAUGCGUAGAGAUCUGGAGGAAUACCGAUGGCGAAGGCAGCCAUCUGGCCUAAUACUGACACUGAGGUG
This 648-nucleotide ribosomal RNA is filed under the name uncultured bacterium. Its description in RNAcentral is "bacterial SSU rRNA". It matches the Rfam family "Bacterial small subunit ribosomal RNA", at positions 110 to 753 of the family's 1533-position model. The record is from RNAcentral.